CCUACGGGUGGCAGCAGUGAGGAAUAUUGGUCAAUGGGCGCGAGCCUGAACCAGCCAAGUCGCGUGAGGGAAGACGGUCCUAUGGAUUGUAAACCUCUUUUGUCGGGGAGCAAAAGAUGCAACGCGUGGCGUUCCGAGAGUACCCGAAGAACAAGCAUCGGCUAACUCCGUGACAGCAGCCGCGGUAAUACGGAGGAUGCGAGCUUGAUCCGGAUUUAUUGGGUUACAAGGGUGCGCAGGAGGAAGAUCAAGUCAGCGGUAAAAUGGAGAGGCUCAACCUCUUCGAGCAGUUGACACUGGUAUGCUUGAGUGAGUGAGAAGUAUGCGGAAUGCGUGGUGUAGCGGUGAAAUGCAUAGAUAUCGCGCAGAACUCCGAUUGCGAAGGCAGCAUGCCGGCUCCACACUGACGCUGAGGCACGAAGGCCAGGGGAGCGAAAGGGAUUAGAUACCCCAGUAGUC
RNAcentral lists this ribosomal RNA (459 nucleotides) under uncultured bacterium. RNAcentral's name for it is "partial 16S ribosomal RNA". It matches the Rfam family "Bacterial small subunit ribosomal RNA", at positions 338 to 795 of the family's 1533-position model. The record is from RNAcentral.